CCUACGGGAGGCAGCAGUGAGGAAUAUUGCUCAAUGGACGAGAGUCUGAACCAGCCAAGUAGCGUGAAGGAUGACUGCCCUAUGGUUUGUAAACUUCUUUUAUAAGGGAAUAAAACGAGUCACGUGUGCCUUUUUGCAUGUACUUUAUGAAUAAGGAUCGGCUAACUCCGUGCCAGCAGCCGCGGUAAUACGGAGGAUCCGAGCGUUAUCCUGAUUUAUGGGGUUUAAAGGGAGCGUAGAUGGGUUGUUAAGUCAGUUGUGAAGGUUUGGGGCUAAACCGUAAAAUUGCAAUUGAUACUGGCAGUCGUGAGGACAGUUGAGGUAGGUGGAAUUCGUGGUGUAGCGGUGAAAUGCGUAGAUAUCACGAAGAACACCGAUUGCGAAGGCAGCUUACUAAACUGUGACUGACAUUGAUGCUCGAAAGUGUGGGGAGCAAACAGGAUUAGAUACCCGUGUAGUC
This 460-nucleotide ribosomal RNA is filed under the name uncultured bacterium. RNAcentral describes it as "partial 16S ribosomal RNA". It matches the Rfam family "Bacterial small subunit ribosomal RNA", at positions 338 to 795 of the family's 1533-position model. The record is from RNAcentral.